This is a non-coding RNA of Ceratotherium simum simum (southern white rhinoceros), 119 nucleotides long. The record is from RefSeq and is a predicted model, not a curated record. NCBI's taxonomy places the organism in Eukaryota, Metazoa, Chordata, Mammalia, Perissodactyla, Rhinocerotidae.
CUCCACUUCAGUCCUGAGGGUUUGCUGAUUUGGAUCCUGGACCUGGACCUACUCACUGCUCAUCAAGCCCAUGCUGAGGCAGCCUCCCACACAGAAGAACUAGAAGGACCUACAACUAG